Molecule: ribosomal RNA, 496 nt
Filed under: uncultured bacterium
Lineage: Bacteria
Description: partial 16S ribosomal RNA
Rfam family: Bacterial small subunit ribosomal RNA
Source: RNAcentral
GAUGAACGCUGGCGGCGUGCCUAAUACAUGCAAGUCGAGCGAACAGACGAGGAGCUUGCUCCUCUGACGUUAGCGGCGGACGGGUGAGUAACACGUGGAUAACCUACCUAUAAGACUGGGAUAACUUCGGGAAACCGGAGCUAAUACCGGAUAAUAUAUUGAACCGCAUGGUUCAAUAGUGAAAGACGGUUUUGCUGUCACUUGUAGAUGGAUCCGCGCCGCAUUAGCUAGUUGGUAAGGUAACGGCUUACCAAGGCAACGAUGCGUAGCCGACCUGAGAGGGUGAUCGGCAACACUGGAACUGAGACACGGUCCAGACUCCUACGGGAGGCAGCAGUAGGGAAUCUUCCGCAAGGGGCGAAAGCCUGACGGAGCAACGCCGCGUGAGUGAUGAAGGUCUUCGGAUCGUAAAACUCUGUUAUUAGGGAAGAACAAAUGUGUAAGUAACUAUGCACGUCUUGACGGUACCGAAUCAGAAAGCCACGGCUAACUACGU